RNAcentral lists this unclassified non-coding RNA (402 nucleotides) under soil metagenome. Its description in RNAcentral is "partial contains 5.8S ribosomal RNA, internal transcribed spacer 2, and large subunit ribosomal RNA". The stretch from base 1 to 121 matches the Rfam family "5.8S ribosomal RNA", at positions 35 to 154 of the family's 154-position model. The record is from RNAcentral.
GAUGAAGAACGCAGCGAAAUGCGAUAAGUAAUGUGAAUUGCAGAAUUCAGUGAAUCAUCGAAUCUUUGAACGCACCUUGCGCCCUUUGGCUAUUCCGAAGGGCAUGCCUGUUUGAGUAUCAUGAAAACCUCAACUCUCAUGGCUUGCCAUGAUGAGCUUGGACUCUGGGGGUCUUGCUGGCUUUACGGUCAGCUCCUCUCAAAUAAAUCAGCUUGCCGGUGUUUGGUGGGAUCACAGGUGUGAUAACUAUCUACGCCUGUGGUUUUCCGCCAGGUAACCUUCAGCAAUGGAGGUUCGCUGGAGCUCAUAAAUGUCUCUCCUCAGCGAGGACAGAUUUUGACCGUUUGAUCUCAAAUCAGGUAGGACUACCCGCUGAACUUAAGCAUAUCAAUAAGCGGAGGA